This 21-nucleotide microRNA is filed under the name Bombyx mori (domestic silkworm). RNAcentral's name for it is "bmo-miR-3327-5p". The record is from miRBase by way of RNAcentral. Lineage: Eukaryota; Metazoa; Arthropoda; Insecta; Lepidoptera; Bombycidae. RNAcentral also lists the same sequence under 1 other name.
AACAACAGGAAUGUUAUGUAC